RNAcentral lists this Y RNA (102 nucleotides) under Propithecus coquereli (Coquerel's sifaka). RNAcentral's name for it is "Y RNA (ENSPCOG00000006731.1)". It matches the Rfam family "Y RNA". From Rfam's summary of the family: Y RNAs are components of the Ro ribonucleoprotein particle (Ro RNP), in association with Ro60 and La proteins. Lineage: Eukaryota; Metazoa; Chordata; Mammalia; Primates; Indriidae. The record is from Rfam by way of RNAcentral.
GGUUGGUCCAAGUGCAGUGGCGUUUACAACUAAUUGAUCACAACCAGUUACAGAUUCCUUUGUUCCUUUUCCACUCCCACUGCUUCACUUGACCAGCCUUUA